AGAAUUUAUAUAGAAGUCUUUCAGUCACGUAAAAAUCUCACUCAUUUUCGGCAAUCACUUGUUGACCACACUCGACAAGGAGAAAUCGAGGAAGUAAAAAGAAAGAAGGAAAAGAAUAAAGGAAAAAAGAGAAAAAAAUAAAAAAAGAAGAAGAAAAAGAAAAUAUACAGACGUUAACCAAAUUUUAUUAAAUUUUAUCUUAACCACCAGUAUACCUCCGACAACUAGGCCAAA
RNAcentral lists this long non-coding RNA (234 nucleotides) under Gossypium raimondii (Peruvian cotton). Its description in RNAcentral is "long non-coding RNA (GRAI_LNC009938)". The record is from RNAcentral. Lineage: Eukaryota; Viridiplantae; Streptophyta; Magnoliopsida; Malvales; Malvaceae.